CUUAGUGGCGAACGGGUGAGUAACGCGUGAGUAACCUGCCCUGGAGUGGGGGACGAACAGUUGGAAACGACUGCUAAUACCGCAUAAGCCCACGGAUCCGCAUGGAUCUGCGGGAAAAGGAUUUAUUCGCUUCAGGAUGGACUCGCGUCCAAUUAGCUAGUUGGUGAGGUAACGGCCCACCAAGGCAACGAUCAGUAGCCGGCCUGAGAGGGUGAACGGCCACAUUGGGACUGAGACACGGCCCAAACUCCUACGGGAGGCAGCAUG
Molecule: ribosomal RNA, 267 nt
Filed under: uncultured bacterium
Lineage: Bacteria
Description: partial 16S ribosomal RNA
Rfam family: Bacterial small subunit ribosomal RNA
Source: RNAcentral